CCGAAUAUCCAAACAUGGGGGGUACUGCCUGCCCAGUGAAUUAAUUUAAACGGCCGCGGUAUCCUGACCGUGCGAAGGUAGCACAAUCACUAGCCCUCUAAAUAAGGGCCGGUAUGAAUGGCAACACGAAGGCCUAACUGUCUCCUCUUUAACUAACGAAACUUCUCUAGCCGUGCAAAAGCGGCUAUUAAAGCGCUAGACGAGAAGACCCUAUCGAGCUUCAGGGAUAAGAGACCGACCAAAAACUAGACCAACUGAACUAAUGGCCCGCCAGCUCUCUGACUCAUACAUCUAGUUUUGCUCUUACUCUCCUUUUCCUUUUGGUUGGGGCAACCACGGAGAAUAUCCACCCUCCGAGCCAAACUAAUUUUAAAUGACAUCACGUCAUAAGCAUAACCCUUAUGGUUCAUGAUCCGGACCUUCCGAACAACGAACAAAGUUACCGUAGGGAUAACAGCGUAAUCCCUCCUAAGAGCCCGCAUUGCCGGAGGGGUUUGCGACCUCGAUGUUGGAUCGGGGAAUCCUGAUGGUGCAGCCGCUAUCAAGGGUUGGUCUGUUCGACCAUUAAAACCCCACGUGAUCUGAGUUCAGACCGGCG
This 598-nucleotide ribosomal RNA is filed under the name Balanoglossus carnosus. Its description in RNAcentral is "partial 16S rRNA". It matches the Rfam family "Bacterial large subunit ribosomal RNA", at positions 1831 to 2621 of the family's 2925-position model. The record is from RNAcentral. Lineage: Eukaryota; Metazoa; Hemichordata; Enteropneusta; Ptychoderidae.